AGGACUCUUAAACAAUACACUCCUUAAUCUUCCCCUUUUGGAUAAUACAAACAAUUGCUUCCUGGAAUUAUUUAAGCUCCCUGUGAUGCAUACCUUGUAUAUUAUGGGAUUAUUCCAUGUCAAAGGUGGAAAAAAUAUAUUUAAUUACACUCCUCUAUUUAAAAAGUAAUUUUAGAUUAAAAGUGUCUCCAGUAAACAAGUAUUUAAACUGACUUUUGGUCACUAGAUCCAAUUCUCAAACCUCAUCCUUCUUGACCUCUUCUCACACUGUCGAUCAGCCUCUCCUUUAAGGACCAUGCUUAAGUGAAGGGGCAGGUAAGUUCUCUAGGCAAUUGAGUAGGAGAUGGAAGUCCAGGCUAAAGAGUUCCCGUAGUUUCCAUCUGUUCAUUUACUUUUCUUAAAUCAGUCAACAUCCUCCAUUUUCCAGAUUUCUUUUUUACAGCAAAUACUGGGAAAAAUUCCAAGGACUUUGAGAAGGCUUUAAGUGUCCUUGGUCAAGUUGCUCCUAAAUUGUAUCACUAGCUAAGGGCCACUAUUCUACCCACACUGGUGUAUCAGUUUUCCAUUGAAUAGGAACAGGUGAAAGUGUAGGCAGGCCUUCAACAGUAUCCCUGCCCAAAAAGCCGAAGUACUCAUUUGUAAUCCUAACUCUGUUAAGAUGUCUCUUCCCCACAGAUUGAUAGAUUUUUUUUUACUACAAAAGGAGUAAAAACUCCUGUUUCACCUUCAAAAGGCCAUCUCAUAGGGGCAGCACUAACUUCACCUAUUGAUCCUCCUAUGCCACACAUGUGUCUGCCUUAAUCUUUGGCCAGUGAGUGGGCCAGUUGGCACCUCUAAUGACUGAAUGAUCUGUACGAGUGUCUACCAAUUCUUCUAAUGGUUUGCCAUUUAUAAAGAUAGUGAGCAUAGGUUAGUCAGCUGUCCAGUAUAUUCCUGGAUUCUGUUGUUGGGAGUCAGAAUCUGGGUAAAUAUCACCAGAUUGCUUAUUAGGAGUCUGUAUUAGUAAACCUGAUGCUACUACGUCUCCUGGGUGAUAAGUCACACAUUGUCUACCUGUAUUAGUGACUGGGAUAUUAGCUACACAUUCCCCAGUUUCCCAAAUCAGUUCAAAUGGAUGAACACUGUUUUAUAAGCACUCUCAAGAGGUGAAAUGGUCAAGUCCAUUGUGUGUGGAGGGCAAAGGAUCCAUAGGCUGGACAGGGACAGGUUUCCCCUCUACAGGGGGUAUAUCUCAGUAGUCCCAACUGCAUACAACUCUAUUCAUCAUCCUAAUUGCAAUCUCCUUCCCCCACAGGCUUGCUUAAAGACUCUCUGGGGGUAAUGAGUUGCCAUCAAUCCCCAAGUAUUUUUUGCCUGGGGCUCUGGAACAUGCCUAAAUGAAGGGGCAGGUCAAUUCUCCAAGAGCCUCCACAGCUGUGGAUUGUGACACUUGAGGGAGUUGUGGAGCAGCCUUUACUGACACAGGUGUUGCUUGUGGAUGGGAAAUGAAAUAAUUGGAGGCAGAAGGAAGAGGAGAAAGGUCAGACAACGCAAUGGCCUCUCAGUGGGGAGGUCAGAGAACAGUAACUGCUUCUCAGUCUCCUUGUAUCAUCCUCAUCCUCUCACAAGAAGAGAUCCAUUCUACGGGUUUGAGUUAGACAUCCAGCAGCCACUGGCAGUCUGGGAGAGGACAAGGCACAAUACAAAGACCUGGCGCUUCAUCUUACGUUUGACACAUACUGGUUGUGAAAUAAUGGUAAGUCAUUCUUCUCAGCUAAAUUUCAGAAAAGUUUUAGUUUGUAUUGGUAUAUCUUAUCAGGAGCUCCGUAAAAGAUGAAACCACAGGUUUGGUUUUUAAAAAAAAAGGAAAAAAAGGCUAGAUCUCUAAGGUCCUAUUAAGCUCAAGACCUAUGGCUUAUGGUGCCUAUCUCAUUGUAGCCCCUACUUUCAGAUUGCAGAAAGUGAAGAGUAUAUAGAAGUUCUGAUACAGAAGAGGUGGGGGUAGGGGAAGACACUUUGAAAUCUGUACAGAUAAGUGGGAGAAGGCCAAGGUAUGGUAAAUGGGAAAUUCUUUAGAUGACUAAAGAGGUACACAAAAGGGUAUUUGUAGUCUCUGCUUUAUGGGACUCCGUUCCUGGUUUGACUCUCCCUGAUGGCAUUCAAUGAGAGAUAAUGCUGGAAGAGUCUAGUUGUUGUGGUCCUUUGAAAAUGGCCUUGAUCUUUUACCCUAACGUUUGCUCUUUUGUUUUAGCUGAAAGAAUUAAUCUGAAGGCUCUGAUCUUGAGACUUUUGAAAGGUCAGGAGAGCAAGCCUCCAAAGUCUGAGAAUCAGGGAGUCUGGGUAUGCAAGAGUCUGGGAGUCAGUGUCCAUGCUGAUCAAAAACAUAGAUUGUAAAGAAUGUUACUGAUUACUACCCUAAUCAUGAGGAAGAAAUAGUACCUUUGAAGCACUAAAUCUGGAGCUCUGAAACCCCAAAUCCAGGUAAUAGAACUAGAAGUAAUAGAAAGAACCUAUCUAUACAUGAAAGAGUAUUGGAAGAGAAACAUAUAAGGCUGUGUAGUAGGCUGUGUCUUAACUUUAUGUCUAAGAUUUUGAUGAGCCUGUUCAGCCAUACUUUGCCCACUGCCUCUGUGUUCUGCUUCUUGAAUUUGCUACUGAUACUUUUGGGGGAGCUUUAAAUUGGAAAAUGAAAGCAAGCUAAACCAAAAUGUAAACACUAAUGAGAGUUCUGGAUUGUUUCUCUUGUAAUGUCUUUAUGCAGAGGCCUCAGAUCCUAGGAAAAUAUGAAGGACAGCCUGAAUUGAGAAAGCUCUCUGUUUUCUCUUGUGUGAAAAAGAAAUUCUGGAUCUUGGAAUUAAAACUGUGACUCUAGUCAGUGUUCUCCAGGUGUACACAUCUGACUCAAGAUUAUAAAUACUUUUAAGGCAAUAAGCUUCUACUUCUUUAAUAUCUCCUUACACAGUGUUGUAAGCAGUACUGGACAUAUGCUUCACAAACACUUGUUUUUGCAGGUAAGACUUUUCACUGGUCACAACAAUGGUGUUUUUUUGCUGCUGAUAAUUACAUAAUAAAGAGGAAAGUAAGCUA
Long non-coding RNA from Antechinus flavipes (yellow-footed antechinus), 3066 nucleotides. RefSeq lists it as uncharacterized. The transcript has 2 exons. The record is from RefSeq and is a predicted model, not a curated record. NCBI's taxonomy places the organism in Eukaryota, Metazoa, Chordata, Mammalia, Dasyuromorphia, Dasyuridae.